This 360-nucleotide ribosomal RNA is filed under the name Triticum aestivum (bread wheat). Its description in RNAcentral is "partial small subunit ribosomal RNA". The record is from RNAcentral. Lineage: Eukaryota; Viridiplantae; Streptophyta; Magnoliopsida; Poales; Poaceae.
AUGCAAGACUACUUCGCGGAGAAUCCAACAUAUCCACCGCACCUCUUUCGGAGAAGGUAUCGAAUGCGCCGAUCUCUCUUUGUGAAAAUUGUUCAAGCUUGCGAGGCCAAUUGUCGGUAUUUUACUCAAAGAAGAAAUGUCGCGGGCUUGAAGGGAUAUAGUGCAUAUCAAAAAAUCUCGGCCGCUAUGACGGUAAUUGCAUAUGGCAUUCCGGCUGACCAUGCGGAUGAGUACCUUCGCAUUGUUGAAGAUACCACAAUUGAGUCAGUGCGUGGGUUUGCCAAAGUGAUCGUGCGUGUCUUUGGUCCCGAAUAUCUUCGGGCACCCAACGAGGAAGACAAAAAAAAUGAUGGCAUCUAA